GGCAGUGACUAUGGUAAAAAGUGAUUCAAAACCUACAGCUACUUCAUCUCUAGCUUUAAAUUCAUUAGGCACCCCCCUAGGUACCCCAAUGGCAUCUAUGUAAAUGUGGGGGUCAAAACUGCCUUUUACUGGGGUUUCGCGCCUUACUCUGGCUGAUGUAUGUGGAGGGUCGUAUGUGUCAUGAUGAUUAUCAGAAAUAAUAUGAAUGGGCAUGAUAACUUUGGCUAGGGUACACUCACCCCACCACUCAGUUUCCAGCCUAGAUCUUAAC
This 271-nucleotide long non-coding RNA is filed under the name Pelobates cultripes (western spadefoot toad). The record is from RNAcentral. Lineage: Eukaryota; Metazoa; Chordata; Amphibia; Anura; Pelobatidae.